CAGAGAAAUAUCACUUCCCAGAUAUACAACGUGGUGGUACAAUUCUUAUCGUUUACACACAGGUGUCCACGGCAGGUGCGAUCGACCGGGGGACACUUACGUUACUUUGCGCUAUGCCAGCCGGGGAGGGAGAAGGGGAAAGGCCCACCAUUGAUGCUCACUGGGAGAGAUAGUCUUAAAAGCGUAUCACAAGCGGGUGUGAAUAUAUAUAUAUAUGCACAGGGCUCGUAAAAAUCGGCACUGUAAGCGCGAUUGCUUAAGAAUUGCUUGGAUCGAAUUAAGUGGAAAUAAAUAUUUGCACAAAACAGGAACGAUUGGAUUUCAUGAGGUGUAAAAUAUUUUUAACUUGGAUACUUUUUAGAUUUUCUUUCUUUAAAAAUUUUACAAAUAUCAAAAUUUCAGAUUGUAUUAAUUAGAUUGGAGUUAACCUGUUUUGUGCUGAUUCGUGUAAUAUAUCGGAACGAUAUAAUAAUCGUACAUAAUAGAGAAUCCAUUACAUUAGCACGUUUACUUACUUACACAUGUAAUAAUCGAUAAACUUUCGUGUUAACAUUUAUAUGUAUAUAUGUAUAAGUAUCUAUGUACUCGGCACAAUUUACAAUACUUUACAAAACCUGUCAAUUAAGCCGUUUGUACAUAUGGCAAGUGACACAUAGCCUCAUCUCGUGGUGAUUUCAAUCUCUUCGUAUUGGAUAAUGAAACCGCUGGAUCAAACAUCGAAACGACAUAUAUAGAGGCGUGUAUAUAUACAUGUACAAACUAUGUACAAAAAUCGAGACGUGAAACGUCACGCUUGUAAACGCGAAAUUAGGAUUUUAAUCGUACUCUCUGCCACAAGGGAACAUCGAUAAAUAAAAAAAUUCCAAUCUUCCAUUCUUUUUGAAGGCCGUUCUAGUUCGUAAUGGAAUUCGGUAAAUAUUGGACAAUCACUGGUUUUAAUCUACACUGGAUUCUUUUCUUUUCAAAAAGGAUAUGAAACAAUAUCAAGCAGGAAUAUACUAAAACUAUAGGAAAUAGAUUUCAAAAGUAUGGGGGAAACUAGAACUAAAGGGACAGAUUUUUAAAAAAAAA
Long non-coding RNA from Apis mellifera (honey bee), 1071 nucleotides. RefSeq lists it as uncharacterized. Lineage: Eukaryota; Metazoa; Arthropoda; Insecta; Hymenoptera; Apidae. The transcript has 2 exons. The record is from RefSeq and is a predicted model, not a curated record.